This 23-nucleotide non-coding RNA is filed under the name Cricetulus griseus (Chinese hamster). The record is from RNAcentral. Lineage: Eukaryota; Metazoa; Chordata; Mammalia; Rodentia; Cricetidae.
CCAUUUGGAAAAAAUUGUCACCA